UACGGAGGGUGCAAGCGUUAUCCGGAUUUACUGGGUUUAAAGGGUGUGUAGGCGGGUCUUUAAGUCAGUGGUGAAAUCUCCGGGCUCAACCUGGAAACUGCCAUUGAUACUAUUGAUCUUGAAUUUUGUUGAGGUAGGCGGAAUAAGUCAUGUAGUGGUGAAAUGCAUAGAUAUGACUUAGAACCCCGAUUGCGAAGGCAGCUUACUAAACAAAUAUUGACGCUGAGGCACGAAAGCGUGGGGAUCAAACAGG
Molecule: ribosomal RNA, 253 nt
Filed under: uncultured bacterium
Lineage: Bacteria
Description: partial 16S ribosomal RNA
Rfam family: Bacterial small subunit ribosomal RNA
Source: RNAcentral